CUGGCGGCAGGCUUAACACAUGCAAGUCGAACGGUAACAUGAGUGCUUGCACUUGAUGACGAGUGGCGGACGGGUGAGUAAUGUAUGGGGAUCUGCCGAAUGGAUUGGGACAACAGUUGGAAACGACUGCUAAUACCGAAUAAUGUCGCGAGACCAAAGGGUGCUUACGGGCACUUGCCAUUUGAUGAACCCAUAUGAGAUUAGCUAGUUGGUGGGGUAAAGGCUCACCAAGGCGACGAUCUCUAGCUGGUCUGAGAGGAUGACCAGCCACACUGGAACUGAGACACGGUCCAGACUCCUACGGGAGGCAGCAGUGGGGAAUAUUGCACAAUGGGGGAAACCCUGAUGCAGCCAUGCCGCGUGUAUGAAGAAGGCCUUAGGGUUGUAAAGUACUUUCGGUGAUGAGGAAGUUAUGUGUGGGAUAAGCACAUAUAAUUGACGUUAGUUACAGAAGAAGCACCGGCUAACUCCGUG
RNAcentral lists this ribosomal RNA (474 nucleotides) under uncultured bacterium. RNAcentral describes it as "bacterial SSU rRNA". It matches the Rfam family "Bacterial small subunit ribosomal RNA", at positions 36 to 507 of the family's 1533-position model. The record is from RNAcentral.